CUAUUCUAUAAGGUAUGUAACUACAUUGAUUAUCAUAAGGAAUAUUCAAAGAACUGUAUAUUUAGAGUAGCAAAAACAAAUUGUGGGCUUUUUAAAUUCCACUGUAUGCUAAUCACUAUUAAUUUCUGUAUCAAAUUCUUUUAAUCCCUAGAUAUUAAAUCUGUGAGCUGUUUCCAGUGGGGAAAUCAAAUUGUUUCCUUUUGUAAAAGUUGUUUUCUCUAUCAACAAUUCUGUGAACACAUUGUCAGGUUAAUCAUAUGGAUAAGCAAAUAGAGAGAGCUAAGUCCUAUAGACAUAUCAUCUAAUAGGCUGGUUGAGGAAUACAAAUAAAAUAGAGCAUUAGGAUUCUAUUAUUUGUAUGCUUUCCUUUCCAUAAUUAUGGCCACAAAUAGUAAAAUCAGUAAUUUACAUUAUAGACUUACCCUGUGCUAGAUUCAGUUUAAUUGUUUUACAUACAUUAAUUUAACCCAUAAAGCAACUCAUCAGGUUAUCCAUAUGGGUAUAAUUCAUAACUAGCAUGAACAAAUAUAUAGAAUGCAAAAUUAAGUAAAUUGCCCAAACACCAGGCUAUGGAGUUGCAGAGAUAGAAUUUAAAUCUCUUUUUAUGUGAUGGGCUCCCUAUAAGAUUUGUUUAGCCAGGAAUUUAGAGAUCUAGGAAUUUAGAGAUCUGGACAUAGAGAAAUUAUUUUUUUCCUCAUUUAUAUUAGGACUAACUUGUUAAAUACAAUGUGCAACUGUAUCUUCGCUCUUAAUUGGUAUCCACCACUGACUUGCUCAUUAGAUUCCAGCUUUCUUUUGAUUGCUCACACAUAUCAAGUGCAGGUUUAUUUUAGACCUGUUUCCCUUGUGGUGCAUUCUUCAUGGAGAGCUGUAAACCUGAAUGAAUAUUUGCAGGGUGCCUUUCUCUGGCAAAUCUUCUCACUAAUCUCUGUUUAAAUUCACGAGUUCAGAAAAGCUUUCUCUGACCUCCUUUUCUAAAAUAUCAUCUAGCUACCCAUCCAUUCUCUCACAUUAUUCUCUACAUAUUUAUCUUUUCCAGGGAUAACACAACCUCCAUUUAUUCUAUUUAAUCAUGCAGAGUCCAAUAAGGUCCACGGUAGUAAGAGUUAUUGAUUUUAUUCACAGCGAUAUACCCUGAACUUGGAAACAUAUUUGUCACAAUAAAUAUUUUUAUGUAUAGUCAGAUAUCCCACAAAAAAGCUAACAAUAUUACAGAAGAAAAAUGUGAAGCCUUCUAGUCAAGUAGUCAUUUAUCCAACCUAAAGGAAUACAGCUAGAACCCUCAGUCAGAAAGGUUGGCUUAACUCAAUGAGUCCCAGUAUUCUCACAGUGAGGAAAAAGAGAGACUAGAUCAUGAACUCCUUCGCCUUGUUCCUGAGAUCUAGCCCCUGAACUGGAAAUCAAAAUUGGAUGUAUGGUUUUCAGGGUUGUUGCUCUUACCUAACACCUUGCCUUAAAAAUCUAACUAGUAUACCAACGAAUCUAGGAUAGUUAUAUUAACUUGUUUCCAUUCCUCUCACCCAUUUCUACAUUGCCAGCAUAUUAAGGUAUUGAUGACCACUACUGAUCAUCAAAAUGAAGUUUUGAGCAUUGAAAUUUUGUUAUUAAUUUUGAUGAUGACUCUUACUCAAGACUGCCUGAAUUUCACAUACUUCUUGCUUUUCUCCUCCUACCUAAUAUUUAGAAAUUGCUACACUCCAGGACUCCAUAGCUGAUUCUCUGCCCUUCCUCACAUUAUUAUAUAAAGAUAGUCUCUUCUGAUUCUUUCCUUAUCUUUAUGUUUUCCAGACCCCUUAGCUUCACUUCAGACCUAUUUAUAUGAUGCUCACAUAAAGAAAUAGAAUUUCAAACAUUAUUCUGUUUUCCAGGCCCUUUACCAACUCUCACUGCAAUGACUCCAGACCCCUCAAGCUUGAUUUAAAAAAUGUAAAUAUUAUCAUCAUGUUCUGUAAACUCUGUUUCCAAAAAUUUCUCAUAUUCAAACACUUUCCACUAUUUCCGUUGAUGAAAUUGUCAUUCAAGCAAUUAUACUUGUUCUCUUGGAGUAAUGCAACUGCCUUCCCAACAUCUGCUCAAUGGAGACCUACAGAAUGAGGUCUUCCCUGACAUCCACAGUGAAAUGUAGACUCCUAUAUCAUGAAUAUUUUCAAUUUUAUUUACUUGCUUUAUUUACUUCAAAGGAAAAAUUCUAUCCAGGGAUCAUGUCAUUUAUUUAUUAGCACACUUGUUCAUUGUCUAUGCAAAGAAAUAUGAGGUUCUUGAGAUAAGUUCCCAAACCAAGAGCAGCUACUGAUGGAUAAUUGCUCUAUUAUUCUUGAAUAAAUGUAUGAAGAGAUGUUAUAUUCAAAAUUGUAACUCUACAAGAUAAGUUACAAUGCUCACAUCGAGAUUCUUUAUGUAAGCAGAAUCAUACCAGUGAAAUUUGUACCUAACCAUCAAUCAUUCCCACUGGUGUCUUUAAGUCUCUCUGAACUUGGAGGAGUAAUUUAGAUUCAUAUUGAGACACUGACAAAAUUCAACCUGUCCCCAACUUCACCACACAUAUAUUGGUAAUAGUGUAUCCAUUCAUUCAUUUAAAAUGUUUUGAAAACUAUGCUUUAAAAAACUGGGAUUUUAAAAGAAGAAAACAACAUAGAACAUCCACCCUUUAGUUUUCCCAUCUUUGAAUGUGAUGGUUCCUAAUUUCAGCAGAUUAAAUAUUAAGAUAAAUAAAUAAAAACAUAUGUACAUAAAACACACAUAUACAUACAUAACAGAAAAAGAAAACUCAUUUAAUGAGAACAAUGUUGCCAUUCAUAUCCCUCAAACAUCAUUUAAUUUUCCAAAAUUGUGACAUUCCAUAAAAAUUCUUGUAAAAAUUUACAUACAUAAAGAUUCAAGAACAUCCUAGGAAGAUUAAAAAAUAUUGGCAGAAAAUAUACUGAAAUUCUGUUUAUACCUCUUCCCCAGGUAAUAUGACAAGGGCUCAGAUAUAGAAGCAACAUACUAUUCCACAAACUUUCAUCCCUACUUUUAGUGGGCCACCCCUGACACAAGUAAGACUGAUAGAUUGUCUGCGGAAAAGGGAUUUAUAAUAUAAAGCUUGGAAAAUUGUAUUCUUUCGUUCAGUGCUUCUGGGAGCUUUCUUGUGAAUUUUUAGAAAUCCCUUCUACGUAGUUCAAAUAGAAAUGACUGCCAAAUUGUAGUAUUUUUCAAUAUCUGAUCUCCCCAUCAACAAAAUGAUUAUGGCUAAUCUUUCAAUUCUGAAUUAUGUGCAGAGAGAGAGAGAGAGAAAGAAUCCUAAGGUCAUUAUGUAGAUGAAACAACCUUCUUUUCUAGCCCCAUACAGCUAUAUUCUGACAACCCAACCCAUAUAUAGGGGGAAAAUAGGGCCUGAGAAGAUUUCAUUUCAUAUGUUGCUAAGUUACUAACCUGUUAAAGAAAACUAGAUGUAUAAGAAAGAUUUUGAAAUGGCUUUUAUGUUGUAUCAUAGGCAGUAUGCAUCUAUGAAUUAUAUAAUAGGUAUUUAAAUUUACCUUAGAAUAUCAGACACUUGUGGAUCAGAAAUGAAGACAAAUGACAGAAGACACUAAGUUUUAGAAUUGUAUUAAGUUUUAGAAUUGCACUAAACUUAAUAGCCUAAAUUCACAGGCAUUAUUGUGAAAAUCUCAUUCCUUUUGUUGGCCUUUUAUUGUUGUUUUACCCAAGAUUAGGAUGAGAUACAGCCUAAAUUUCAGGUAUUGAGGUGAUAUCAUAGAAAGAUAAGAAGCUUUGCUAUUUCAUGAAGAAAAUGGAUUGUCCUUCCACGACUUCUGAUUUUAUCCAACUCACAUAUUCUAAGAAAGGUUAAAAUUAAGGCCCUAUUAUCUUUACUUUGAUUUUGCUUUGUUUUUUUACCCCUUCAGACUUACAUUUUAAUUUUAUUUUUGAGUUAUGAGUUUUUAAUAAAAGCCUUACACACAAUUCAGAAAAUUCUGCUCAUUUAUUCUUUCAACAAAUGUGCAUCAUGCUCUAUGAAUUGUGAUAUCCUCUGGCAGGUCAUACACUCUGAUAGGUGCUACAGUAGAACAGCAGAGAAAACACAACCUCAGUUUAUGUUUUAGUGGAGAUAGUUAACACAAGAUAAACAAGUAGGUAUAUAAUUUGCUCGUGAUAAAUAUUAACAAGAAAUGUAAUAUUACACAGGUGAAGAAAAAUUAGGAAUAACACAACUGAAAAAUGUGAUGCUCUGGAGUAUAGCUGAGGAAAUUCUCAAUAAAGAUGGCUUUGAGUAUAGGUAAUGGGGGACAAAUCAUGUUGGUCUUUAUGAGUCACUGUAAAGUCUUUGCCUUCUAUUUGGGCAUGAUAGGAUGUUACUGGGGUGGUUUUGAACAGAAUGAUGAUAUAGAGUGGUACAUAUUUAAAGUAAAUAUUUCAGACUCUUAUGUUGAGAAUGUAUUUAAAGGUAAGGCUGGAGGCAGAAGACAAAUUUAGGAGGCUGACGUAAUAUACCAGGCAAGAGAUUAUAGUGACAUAAAUUGGAAUGGUAGCAGGGGAGGCAGUGAAAAAUAGUCAAACUCUGGAUAUAUUUUAAAGGUCAGGAAGACAAGAUUGACUGACAGGAAGGGUAGCAUAAGAGGAUGGGAGGGAAGUGGGAAAUGAACAAGUGGAAUUGAUGAAUCAAAGAUGACUCCUUGAUUUGUUUGCCUCACCGAUGGGGAAAUGGGGUUUCCAGUUCUGAGAUAAGGAAGAGCUGGGAAAGCAUUUAACAGAACCUUAAUUUGAAAUAUAUUCUAUAUGAAAUAUCUAUCAAAUUCUAAAUUCAGAUGCUAAGUAGAUAUAUGCAAUCGUCUGAAGGUCUGAGGAGGGAUCCAGUCAGAAAAUAAACUUGGGCAUUGACCAAUAAACACAUAAUUGUGAGAUCUUCAACAGAGUGAUGAUAAGGUGAGGAGAGACCCAUGAACAAACUUCACGUACUUGAAACUUCUAAGGCUGAGAAGAAAAAAAAGAAGGUGACAAAGAAGAAUGAGAUGGAGCUGGGAACCAACCUGGAGAAAAAUCAGAAGGCAAGUGAGGAAGUAUCAGUAGUCAUCAAACUCUAUCAAGUAAGGUGAUGACUGAGUCAAGGCUUUAAAAUAAUCUAAGAUGAGGCUUAGCGAUAGUGAGAUCACUGGGUUUGUUUUCUUUCCUUCUCUGGAGAUUACUGGAGAUUUAAUCAAUGGGCACUUAACCACUGAGAAACACCCUAGACCUUUUUUUUAUUCAUUUUUUAAAUUUUUGAGACGAGGACUGGCUAAGUUGCUGAAGCUGGCUUUGAACUUGAGAUCUUCCUGCCUCAGCCUCCUAAGCUUCUGGGAUUACAGGUGUGGGCACCAUGCCCAGCUAAGAUCACUAGUUAUUUAUUAAUUUUUUUGACAGUAGCUAAUGUGUUAGAGUGGUAAGGCAAACCCUACCUAUAUGUUCAGGAACGAAUGGAAAUACGUAACCUAGAAAUGGUGAUAUACCACUCUUUGAAGGAUUUUGGUUAAAAAUAACAGUAGAGAGAGGGAGAGAUUUCGAAUAAGGGAAUUAAAAUUUUUUAUUAGUUUAUUACAGAUAUACACAAUAUUAGAGUUCAUUUUGGCAUAAUUAUAUAAGCAUUGAAUAUGAUUUUCUGCAAUUUGGUCCUCUUUUCUUCUUUCUCUCCUCCCUCUUCCAUUCUUUCUUCUACUUGGCUGAUAUUUCUUUUAUUUAUUUAUAAUUUUAAAAAAUUAGUGCAUUAUGGAUGUACAUAAAGGUGAGAUUCAUUGUGGCAUAUUCAUGUAUGUAUUUAGGAAAGUCUGAUCAGAUUCAUUUCACCGUUCUUCCUUUUUCCUGCCUCUCUUCCCUCUACCUCAAGCAGAGAUUUUUCUCUGUGUAAGAUACGGAAAAUAUUAUGAUUGAAAUAUGUUAUUACAUUUUUUUAUAUUAGGAAGAAUAUUUUGGAGCAUAAUUUUUGAUUAUGGAAGAGUAAUAGUGAAGAGAAUUUGCAGAGAACACCCAGAGAAGAAAUGGUAUUUUGUAUUAAAGGCAGCUUUAAUGAGAAACAUAGAAAUACUGUUCCUACAGAGCUACAAUUUGACCCAGUUGUCCCAUUCUUCAGCAUAUAGAUCCAAAAGAAUUAAAAUCAGUAUACAACAGUAACACAGCUAUUCACAAUAGCUGAGUGACAGAACCAACCUAGAUGCCCAUCAAUAGAUGAAUGGAUAAAAAAAAUUGUGGUAUGUAUACAUAAUGGAAUAUUACUCAGUCACAAAGAAUAAUGGCUUUCUGACAUUUGCCAGUAAAAAG
RNAcentral lists this long non-coding RNA (6267 nucleotides) under Marmota monax (woodchuck). The record is from RNAcentral. Lineage: Eukaryota; Metazoa; Chordata; Mammalia; Rodentia; Sciuridae.